Magallana angulata is the source of this 1403-nucleotide long non-coding RNA. RefSeq lists it as uncharacterized. The transcript has 3 exons. The record is from RefSeq and is a predicted model, not a curated record. NCBI's taxonomy places the organism in Eukaryota, Metazoa, Mollusca, Bivalvia, Ostreida, Ostreidae.
UCUUCGGCUGAAGUAUCAUUGAACCUACCCUUUGAGGAGAGUUUGCCACCUUUUCAUGCCGUAACCUAUGACUGUUUGGACCAGAGUCAUAUUCCAACAUUAACGUUCAGUGAUAUUUACAGUUUUAUCAUUGAAAGACCUACUUCACAUGGUAUUGCUGUGAAAAAUUUCAAGGGCUUAAACAAAUCCAUUAAACACUUCGAAGCUGGUGACGUCCAAGAUAUUAGAGUGUCAGAGGUAGAAUUUUUAAUUACAUUUUGUAUUUUGUAAAAAACACACAUUAUAAUUAUUUUUUAAAAAAUGAUAAGAUAAAAGCAUGAUCAGAUUAAUGCAUGUAAAAAAAAAUCUGAUAUCAGAGACAUACAUGUUUCUGCUGAUAUUAUAUUGUUUUAAUUGUUCAUAAUAAAUAAUAUUUUUUACAUUUUUAUUUAGGUCAAUUCGUCUAUAAUAUAUGUGAGGGCAACAUGCCAGGCUUCUAUAAAGAAGCAGCAAUAUCAAGUGUAUACCUGCAUGUCAAAACCAAACACUAGUACACCACAUAUACGGCAUGCAUAUUGCCAGUGUCCUAUUGGGUAAUAGUUUAUAAAUAUACUUAUAUAUAUGAAUUGAUAAACAUUUUCAACAAGUUUUUUUAUAAUCUUAUGAAAAUCCACAUCCCAGUGAAAUUUUAAUCAUGCAUUGCUAUUGCUAUUGUUUAAAUUACAAUUUCAUUUUUUUCAAUGGAUCAACACAAGAACUUAGUUUUCAACUGCACUAUUCUAUCCUUUUGAUUCGUAGGUUAGCACAGGCAUGUAGUCACAUAGGUGCCUUACUCCUUGCAUUAAGUCAUGCAAAACCCAGCAAGUCCUCUCCAGAAAGCUGUACAUUUCAGCCAUGUAAAUGGAUAAUUCCUGGGCGCCAGGUGAAGCCUACUGGACCAAUUACUUCUUUGCCUAAUAAGUGAAUGUCGCACUUGUGGAAUAUACCUGACCAUGCUCCAGAGGCUGUCCAAGAGAUGGAGGUGCAGGAUGUGGAAGAUAUUAUGUUCGCAAGGAUGAGAAGUCUCAUAUUUUGUGAGGGGAAUGAGCCCCAACUGUCGAUAACCCAGGGCUUAGUUGAGUUUAUUGAGAGCUGCACAAGAGACAAGAGAACAUCAGAGAUGUGGCAGAGACUCCAUAUUGGUCGUCUCACCAGUUCUCUUUUUGGUGAUGUCUUGAAAGCUGGAUCCAAUCCGAAAUCUUUGAUAAAGCAAAUUAUUGAGGGUUCCAGUCUUAAUAAGUAAGCUGAACAAAUUAUGACUAAUUCUUAUCUUAUUCCAUAGAAACUAUCAUAUAUAGGAUUUUUUAUUUCUUAAAUGGAAGAAAAUACAUCCACUGUAUAUAUAUAUAUCUGCUUUCAACCUUCGUUCAUUCAUUCAUUCAUAC